GACGAACGCUGGCGGCGUGCCUAAUACAUGCAAGUCGAGCGAAGUUUUUCUGGUGCUUGCACCGGAAAAACUUAGCGGCGAACGGGUGAGUAACACGUAAAGAACCUGCCUCAUAGACUGGGACAACUAUUGGAAACGAUAGCUAAUACCGGAUAAUAGCAUUAACUGCAUGGUUGAUGUUUAAAAGUUGGUUUUGCUAACACUAUGAGAUGGCUUUGCGGUGCAUUAGCUAGUUGGUGGGGUAAAGGCCUACCAAGGCGACGAUGCAUAGCCGACCUGAGAGGGUGAUCGGCCACACUGGGACUGAGACACGGCCCAGACUCCUACGGGAGGCAGCAGUAGGGAAUCUUCUGCAAUGGGCGAAAGCCUGACGGAGCAACGCCGCGUGAGUGAAGAAGGAUUUCGGUUCGUAAAGCUCUGUUGUUAGGGAAGAAUGAUUGUGUAGUAACUAUACACAGUAGAGACGGUACCUAACCAGAAAGCCACGGCUAACUACGUG
Molecule: ribosomal RNA, 499 nt
Filed under: uncultured bacterium
Lineage: Bacteria
Description: partial 16S ribosomal RNA
Rfam family: Bacterial small subunit ribosomal RNA
Source: RNAcentral